Manacus vitellinus (golden-collared manakin) is the source of this 338-nucleotide long non-coding RNA. RefSeq lists it as uncharacterized. Lineage: Eukaryota; Metazoa; Chordata; Aves; Passeriformes; Pipridae. The transcript has 3 exons. The record is from RefSeq and is a predicted model, not a curated record.
CUCUCAUUUGCAUGCAGGAGGUGGCAUUUGUUUUGCAGCAUUUGAGUGUUUGCAAACAAGCCUGGGAAGCAUUUUCACAGUGAGACUGUGUGGAACAUAUGGGGUUUUUGCCUGGUUUGCUGUUCAGGCAGAGGAAAGACGUGCAUGGGAAAACCUGUGACAUAGGAGGCUCUGAGGAAAUAUUAAAGGAGAGAAAUAAGUUUCUGAGGAUGGAAGGAGGAAGAGAAGAGCGUUAAGAUCCAACUGCUAAUGGACUGUGUGGCAUCUACCACUUCCAGGAGUUUGUAAUGGCCUUUGUGACUUAGAAAAGGAAGAUUUAAACUGAGGUUUAAUAAAUC